Molecule: ribosomal RNA, 468 nt
Filed under: uncultured bacterium
Lineage: Bacteria
Description: partial 16S ribosomal RNA
Rfam family: Bacterial small subunit ribosomal RNA
Source: RNAcentral
GACGAACGCUGGCGGCGUGCUUAACACAUGCAAGUCGAACGGAAAGGCCCUGCUUUUGUGGGGAGUUCGAGUGGCGAACGGGUGAGUAACACGUGAGUAACAUGCCCUUUACUUUGGGAUAAAUUCAGGAAACUCGGGCUAAUACCGGAUAUGAGCUCCUUCUGCAUGGUGGGGGAUGGAAAGUUUCGGCGUUUGGGGAUGGACUCGCGGCUGAUCAGCUUGUUGGUGGGGUAGUGGCUUACCAAGGCUUUGACGGGUAGCCGGCCUGGGAGGGUGACCGGCCACAUUGGGACUGAGAUGCGGGCAGGACUCCUUCGGGAGGCAGCGGUGAGAAAUAUAGCACGAUGGGCGGAAGCCGGAUGCAGGAACGCCGCGUGCGGGAUGACUGCCGUCAGGUUAGAAACCGCUUGCGCCUGGGACGAAGCGUGAGUGACGGUAAUGGGUAAAGAAGCACCGGCUAACUACGUG